GGUGGUCUGGAGUUUUACACGAGUUAAAAGUUACACAAUACAUGUAGUGGUUUUGAAAUGAUGACAUAUUCAACAUCCAUCGUCCAGAACCCAAAGCAGGAGUCUUCAGCCGGAAUAUCAACAAGUCACACCAAAGCAGUGAGGAAGGGAGCUAAUAUCCUCAGAAGAGUGAGAUGCCUGUCUAAUCUAUAAGUUUUGAGUGAAAAAUGUACCA
Xiphophorus hellerii (green swordtail) is the source of this 214-nucleotide long non-coding RNA. RefSeq lists it as uncharacterized. The record is from RefSeq and is a predicted model, not a curated record. The transcript has 2 exons. Lineage: Eukaryota; Metazoa; Chordata; Actinopteri; Cyprinodontiformes; Poeciliidae.